Molecule: ribosomal RNA, 407 nt
Filed under: Pitho anisodon
Lineage: Eukaryota; Metazoa; Arthropoda; Malacostraca; Decapoda; Mithracidae
Description: partial 16S ribosomal RNA
Rfam family: Archaeal large subunit ribosomal RNA
Source: RNAcentral
CAUAAUCAUUAGUUUUUUAAUUGAAAACUUGUAUGAAUGGUUGAACGAGAAAAUGACUGUCUCUUUCUUAAUAAUUUGAAUUUAACCUUUAAGUGAAAAGGCUUAAAUUUAUCGAGGGGACGAUAAGACCCUAUAAAGCUUUAUUAGUAGUUAUUAUUUCUUAGAAGUAAAAUAAUAAAUGAAAAUCUUGAUUAUUAAUUUUGUUGGGGCGACAUAGAUAUAAGUAAUUAUAACUGUUAAUUAACUAAACAAUAAUAUUUGGAUAGUAAUUGAUCCUUAAUAACGAUUAUAAGACAAAGUUACUUUAGGGAUAACAGCGUUAUUCUUUUUGAGAGUUCUAAUCGAAAAAAGAGUUUGCGACCUCGAUGUUGAAUUAUAAAGUCUUUAUGGUGCAGCAACUAUAUAAG